CCUUGUCGUGGUGAGUGGGCUUUCAACCAAGACAGGCCGUACUAAAUGUUUAAAACCAGUGUUAUUAACUUAUUUUCUCUCUCAUGUAGUACGAUGUAGGACACUAGGGAGUGUCAUGGCUGUCUUUCUGUGGGCGCGAUGAUCCAAUUAACACUCUGUGGCUGAAAGAUUGCUGUUCAUUCCAUCUAACUCCUCAGACGUGCACACCUACUCUCCAUCAACUCAUCAACUCAACAGUAUAUAUACCCCGGCUCUCAAUCCACUCGCCAGAUCGUUCUUUCAGCUACGGUUCACCCACCUGCCUUCUUGGAUUCAAAGCCUCUCAAUCAACCAGGCUCACAUCGCAACUCUGCUCUGAUCAGCCGUCUCCCUUUCACUCUGCAGACCUUGUGAAUCAUCGUCUCAUCUCCCUUCCUCUGCAAUAAACCUCAUUACAAGUCAA
Non-coding RNA from Labrus bergylta (ballan wrasse), 442 nucleotides. The record is from RefSeq and is a predicted model, not a curated record. NCBI's taxonomy places the organism in Eukaryota, Metazoa, Chordata, Actinopteri, Labriformes, Labridae.